This 465-nucleotide ribosomal RNA is filed under the name uncultured bacterium. RNAcentral describes it as "partial 16S ribosomal RNA". It matches the Rfam family "Bacterial small subunit ribosomal RNA", at positions 338 to 795 of the family's 1533-position model. The record is from RNAcentral.
CCUACGGGGGGCAGCAGUGGGGAAUAUUGCGCAAUGGGCGAAAGCCUGACGCAGCGACGCCGCGUGAGUGAUGAAGGUCUUCGGAUCGUAAACCUCUGUCAGCAGGGAAGAACGGUCACUGAGCUAAUCAGCAGUGACUUGACGGUACCUGCCAAGGAAGCACCGGCUAACUACGUGCCAGCAGCCGCGGUAAUACGGAGGGUGCGAGCGUUAACCGGAAUUACUGGGCGUAAAGCGCUCGUAGGCGGUAUGUCAAGUCAAGGGUGAAAGCCCCGGGCUCAACGGGGGAACUGCCUUUGAAACUGGCAAACUUGAGUGUAUGAGAGGAAAGUGGAAUUCCAGGUGUAGGGGUGAAAUCCGUAGAUAUCUGGAGGAACAUCAGUGGCGAAGGCGACUAUCUGGCACAUAACUGACGCUGAGGAGCGAAAGCGUGGGUAGCAAACAGGAUUAGAUACCCUUGUAGUC